UCAUGUGAACAAACUUAGAACCCAGUACAACUCCCGAAAACAGAUCACCCUAUAGUUUAAACACCCACGGAGAUACAAGAACAGCAUGAGGUUAUAUGCGACUCGUAUACCCGAAAUUGUGAUGGUGAAACCAUUUUUGAAUUCUAAUAUGAACUUCAGGACGGAAAACUACUUAAAGUAUACGAGUAAUCACAUCGUCAUGUGAACAAACUUAGAACCCAGUACAACUCCCGAAAACAGAUCACCCUAUAGUUUAAACACCCACGGAGAUACAAGAACAGCAUGAGGAACUUAGCGAACCACACAGAAAUAGAAUUAGAAGACUAGGUUUCUCACCCUAGAGAACCCCGGUCAGAUUCUUCCAGAGAUUGAUGGAUCGCAUCGUAUGUGCCUCGGAUAUCGAGGAAUCCGUCAAGAUUUUCAUAGAAAUCGUUAUCUCUGCCUCACAUAGACAAAAUGGUUGAGCAAACGUAAGGAAAGAAACUACUUCCAGGAAUAGACCUGAGAUCCGAAUAUCACCAGUUCGAUGUGUUAGGGAAGGAUGUCUGGGAGACUAUCUUCCGAAUUCGAUGCGGACGCCUCGAGUCCGUAGUGAUACCUUUCGGAUAGGACCAGUAUGCCCAUGGUUUUCAUGAGCUAAAUGAAUAGGGUUACGUCUUUCUUACUUGGAUCAAUUCGUCAUUUCUCCAUGAAAUGACUUACUUAUCUACCCUCGUAGGAAGAAGAAAGCCCAUGGAAACAUUCCUUCAGAGGAACUCUUAGCAAAGUUCUCUAGGCACGAGAUUUGGAAAUUGAGGAGUCAAAUUUCUAGGACACACUGUUAGUAAUGUGGGAAAUUUCGAGUACUCUUUCAAUUUGCCAAAACCAUUGAGCAUUCAUCGACACCAGAGAAGCCGACAACUUUCGCCAAAUUCUAGGUCUUACCGACCUAUCGCCUUAGUUCAUUCAGAACUCCUCGCAAGCUACAGAAACUCGUACGACUUUGACCCAGCAAGGGGUGGCCUUUGACUGGGAAGUUACGCAAGAAAAGGAACCUUUGAGAUUCCGAGUG
Molecule: long non-coding RNA, 1051 nt
Filed under: Lactuca sativa (garden lettuce)
Lineage: Eukaryota; Viridiplantae; Streptophyta; Magnoliopsida; Asterales; Asteraceae
Description: long non-coding RNA (LSAT_LNC010246)
Source: RNAcentral